UAUUAUGGUGGGCUGGGCGAGGCAGCUUUAUGCUGGCCGUGUUCCGAGAGAGCGGUAGGUCCAACCUUGUUCAGUUCACCACCCAU
This 86-nucleotide non-coding RNA is filed under the name Vibrio chagasii. RNAcentral also lists the same sequence under 1 other name. Lineage: Bacteria; Pseudomonadati; Pseudomonadota; Gammaproteobacteria; Vibrionales; Vibrionaceae. The record is from RNAcentral.